Pseudopipra pipra is the source of this 630-nucleotide long non-coding RNA. RefSeq lists it as uncharacterized. The record is from RefSeq and is a predicted model, not a curated record. NCBI's taxonomy places the organism in Eukaryota, Metazoa, Chordata, Aves, Passeriformes, Pipridae. The transcript has 3 exons.
GGAACGGGAGCGUGCUGCGGAGAAGGAAAAUUCCAGGGGAAUUGCCACGAGAGGAAAUACUUCAGAGGGGCUCCCCUCCAGAUAAGCCCUGAAUAUGCCAGGAGGUUUCAGCCGGGAGGAAAGGAGCUGUGGAAGAAAAGCAGCCUGAAAAUAGCCAGCGGGGAUCAUCAGGUUUUCCAGGCAAGAAGAACAAGGAGAGAGAUGAGGGAAUCGGGUUCCAAUUCCUAAUGAUUUGGUGGGUGCAGGAAUGAUUUCUGUGUGUUUUCCAGUCCCUUUUGAUUCCUGAGAUGAUUUUAAAAUGAUGGCUUUAGCAAUCAACUAAAUCGGAGACGUUGUUUUUGAGAGGAAAUGAUGCCAAAUAAAUGCAGAGUUUUGGGUCAGUUUUUGGGAUGAUUUGGGUCAUUUUUUGGGGUCAGUUUGGGGUCACUGUUUGGGGUGAUUUGGGUCAGUUUUGGGUCAGCUUUUGGGAUGAUUGGGGUCAGUUUUGGGUCAGCUUUUGGGAUGAUUUGGGUCGGUUUGGGGUCAAUUUUUGGGGAGCACUGGGUGCUACUGGAGGUUGUUGGGGAGCACUGGGAGAGAAGAUGAAAAAUAAAGAGAAUAAAAAAUAAACGAAAUAAAAAAAGGAAAUAU